AUUGAACGCUGGCGGCAGGCCUAACACAUGCAAGUCGAGCGGAUGAAGGGAGCUUGCUCCUGGAUUCAGCGGCGGACGGGUGAGUAAUGCCUAGGAAUCUGCCUGGUAGUGGGGGAUAACGUCCGGAAACGGGCGCUAAUACCGCAUACGUCCUGAGGGAGAAAGAGGGGGAUCUUCGGACCUCACGCUAUCAGAUGAGCCUAGGUCGGAUUAGCUAGUUGGUGGGGUAAAGGCCUUCCAAGGCGACGAUCCGUAACUGGUCUGAGAGGAUGAUCAGUCACACUGGAACUGAGACACGGUCAUGACUCCUACGGGAGGCAGCAGUGGGGAAUAUUGGACAAUGGGCGAAAGCCUGAUCCAGCCAUGCCGCGUGUGUGAAGAAGGUCUUCGGAUUGUAAAGCACUUUAAGUUGGGAGGAAGGGCAGUAAGUUAAUACCUUGCUGUUUUGACGUUACCAACAGAAUAAGCACCGGCUAACUUCGUG
This 484-nucleotide ribosomal RNA is filed under the name uncultured bacterium. Its description in RNAcentral is "partial 16S ribosomal RNA". It matches the Rfam family "Bacterial small subunit ribosomal RNA", at positions 30 to 507 of the family's 1533-position model. The record is from RNAcentral.